Molecule: long non-coding RNA, 234 nt
Filed under: Gossypium barbadense (sea-island cotton)
Lineage: Eukaryota; Viridiplantae; Streptophyta; Magnoliopsida; Malvales; Malvaceae
Description: long non-coding RNA (GBAR_LNC005122)
Source: RNAcentral
GGUAUUCUGAACUGUUCGAUCCACCUCCACUUGCUUCGUACUGCAUUACUGGGUGAACUGUGAAGAACUAAGAAAACCAUUAAUUUUCUUAUUCAAGAGUUCUACCUGAUUAGAGAGCAUGGUGACCGAAUCGAUGUUAUAAACACCUGCUGUUUUCUUUGCCUUUGUCCUCAUGACUUGCCAUUGAUAGUUAUCUAGUGACAUCUCCUCUAUAAAUUCAUAAGCAUCUUCAGG